AAAAAAUUCCCAUUUUUUCCCAUUUUUUCCCAUUUUUCCCCGUUUUUCCAGGUGCCUUCGUGGUGUGCUGGACGCCGGGGCAGGUGCUGCUGCUGCUGGACGGGCUGGGCUGCCGGAGCUGCGACGUGCUGGCCGUGGAGAAAUACGUCCUGCUGCUGGCCGAGGCCAACUCCCUCGUCAACGCCGUCGUCUACUCGUGGCGCGACGGCGAGAUGCGCCGCACCUUCCGGCGGAUUCUGUGCUUCCCGUGCCUCCGGAAUUCCCACUACGCCGCCCCGCAGCGCGGGCUGCCCUCCCACAACGGCCACCUCACCGUGGAUUCGUCCAUUUAGGGCUUUUUUGGUAUUUUUUUGGGGGGAUUUUGGGGUUUUUUUGGGGAUUUUUGUGGGUGCGGCCCCAAGGGUUGUGGGGCGAUGAGGGGGGAGUUUUUCUUGGAGAAGAGGUGGUGGAGAUGGGGUUGUGGGGUUGAGGAGGAUUUGGGAUGCUUUGGGGGUUCCAGAGUGGGAGUUUUCCUGGAAAAGUUGUAGUGGAUCAAGGAUGGAGUGAUUUUUUGGGAUUUGGGAGAGUCCCGGACUCUUGGUGGGCUCCAGCAUCUGAAUAUCCUUGGAAAACUCCUGGUGGAUCAAGGAUGAAGGGAUUUUUUUGGGAUUUGGGAGCAUCUUGGAGGCUUGUUGGGCUCCAACAUCCAAAUUUCGUUGGAAAGCUCCUGGUGGGAUCAAGGAUGAAGCGAUUUUUUGGGAUCUGGGAGAGUCCUGGACUCUUGGUGGGCUCCAGCAUCCAAAUUUCCUUGGAAAACUCCUGGUGGAUCAAGGAUUGAGAAGGAUGAGAAGAAUUUUGGAGUCCUGGGAGGCUCCAGCAUCCAAAUUUCCAUGGAAAAUUCAAGAACGAGGUGGUUUUGUGGGAAACCCUUGGAGCAGAAUUCCCAUUAAAGACUGGUUUUAACCCAGAGUAGUUUUUCCUUGGAAAAGGCUCAGGAAUCCUGCGGGGUGGGGGUUGGGAAUUCCGAGGGCAAGAUCUGGGAAUUCUGAGGGAAGGAUUUGGGAAUUCUGAGGGUAGGAUUUUCCCUGGGAUCCCCCAGAAUUUGGGAAUUCUGGUGGCCGAAUUUUCCCUGAAAAAUUCCACAAAUCACAGGAUUGGGGAAUGCUGAGAAAAAGCCAAAUUUUCCCUCUUUUUUCCCUCUCUUUUCCCCGAUCCUGGGAAACUUCUCCAUGACAGUUCUGGGAAUUCCCAGGGAUCCCUGAAGUGGAACCAGGUGACUUUUCCCACCUUGGCUGCAGAAUUCCUUGGAUUAAAUGGGAUUUUUCCAGAUUCUCUGGGAUUUUUCCAAGAAAAACUGAGGUUAAGCACGCAAACCUAGAACCCAG
RNAcentral lists this long non-coding RNA (1364 nucleotides) under Chloebia gouldiae (Gouldian finch). Its description in RNAcentral is "Erythrura gouldiae (Gouldian finch) lncRNA (ENSEGOG00005018491.1)". The record is from RNAcentral. Lineage: Eukaryota; Metazoa; Chordata; Aves; Passeriformes; Passeridae.